This 350-nucleotide unclassified non-coding RNA is filed under the name plant metagenome. RNAcentral describes it as "partial contains 5.8S ribosomal RNA, internal transcribed spacer 2, and large subunit ribosomal RNA". The stretch from base 1 to 105 matches the Rfam family "5.8S ribosomal RNA", at positions 50 to 154 of the family's 154-position model. The record is from RNAcentral.
GAAAUGCGAUAAGUAAUGUGAAUUGCAGAAUUCCGUGAAUCAUCGAAUCUUUGAACGCACAUUGCGCCCCCUGGUAUUCCGGAGGGCAUGCCUGUCCGAGCGUCAUUGCAAACCCUCAAGCACGGCUUGUGUGAUGGGUCCUGGCGUCCACCCCUCUAAGCGUAGGGGGUGGACGGGCCCGAAAGGCAGUGGCAGCGUCGCGGUGAUCCGCUAAGCCAGAGCGUAUGGGGACGCUACAGUCACACGCUCGCGGCGCGGACCGGCGCUGGCCGACCCCCCUAACCAUUCUACGGUUUGACCUCGGAUCAGGUAGGGAUACCCGCUGAACUUAAGCAUAUCAAUAAGCGGAG